This 85-nucleotide transfer RNA is filed under the name Verrucomicrobiota bacterium. RNAcentral describes it as "tRNA-Ser". It matches the Rfam family "tRNA". From Rfam's summary of the family: Transfer RNA (tRNA) molecules are approximately 80 nucleotides in length. Their secondary structure includes four short double-helical elements and three loops (D, anti-codon, and T loops). Lineage: Bacteria; Pseudomonadati; Verrucomicrobiota. The record is from RNAcentral.
GGAGGGGUGGUCGAGUGGUUGAUGGCUCCGGUCUUGAAAACCGGCAAGGCGCAAGCCUUCGUGGGUUCGAAUCCCACCCCCUCCG